This 675-nucleotide long non-coding RNA is filed under the name Olea europaea (common olive). Its description in RNAcentral is "long non-coding RNA (OEUR_LNC005169)". The record is from RNAcentral. Lineage: Eukaryota; Viridiplantae; Streptophyta; Magnoliopsida; Lamiales; Oleaceae.
UUCACAUAAAUAUUAUGCACAAGACAAAGAGAGAGAGAGAGAUACUUUUAGCGGAAGAAAGCAAGCUGGUUUUUAGCCAAGGAAUUUAGAAGUGUGGAACUUGCAUUCAUAUUUAUUUCGAUUCUUGAAAUAACAAGGUAAGCUAUUUUAUGUGCAAGUGCUUUUGUUUCCUUAUAUUUUUAUAUACAAUUAAAUAUGCAUGAAUUUCCAGUGGACAUUCAUUUUUUAAAAGAUAUGAAAUCUUACGGGAUUAUAAGAGGACCUAAGAUGGGUGUGUCGUUUGAUCACCGAUAUACUCCAUAAGAGCAUAGUAGUAUAAAAUCUAGAUUUUAUUGUUAUAUAUCUAUAUAUGGAAACAACACGUAUCUUACUGAGUGUUUUCAAAUACUCACUCUUACAAAUUUUUAUAGGUUAGUUCGGAUCGAUUGGAACGGUGGCGAAAUGGUGAUGUGGACUGCCAAGUGGAUCAAAGGAAAAGGAAAAGAAAUAAGUUUGUCGUUUUUAAAUUUACCAAUUAGUUUAAUUUUGCUCAGAACAUGUUAUUUGAAUUAGUUAGGAGUUUAUGUUAUCUUUAGAUACGAUUUCCAUGAUUUAAAUUUAAAUUUUUAAAUGUUACAGUUACUUGUUUAAUGAAGAAUUUUAUUUUUAUAGUUCUACACUUAAAAUAAAGAAAAG